This 466-nucleotide ribosomal RNA is filed under the name uncultured bacterium. RNAcentral's name for it is "partial 16S ribosomal RNA". It matches the Rfam family "Bacterial small subunit ribosomal RNA", at positions 28 to 507 of the family's 1533-position model. The record is from RNAcentral.
GAUGAACGCUGGCGGCGUGCUUAACACAUGCAAGUCGAACGGAAAGGCCACAGCUUGCUGUGGUACUCGAGUGGCGAACGGGUGAGUAACACGUGGGUGAUCUGCCCUGUACUUCGGGAUAAGCUUGGGAAACUGGGUCUAAUACCGGAUAGGAAUCACAUGUGGGUGUGUGGUUGGAAAGCUUUUGCGGUAUGGGAUGAGCUCGCGGCCUAUCAGCUUGUUGGUGGGGUAAUGGCCUUCCAAGGCGUCGACGGGUAGCCGGCCUGAGAGGGUGUACGGCCACAUUGGGACUGAGAUACGGCCCAGACUCCUACGGGAGGCAGCAGUGGGGAAUAUUGCACAAUGGGCGCAAGCCUGAUGCAGCGACGCCGCGUGGGGGAUGACGGCCUUCGGGUUGUAAACUCCUUUCGUCAGGGACGAAGCGAAAGUGACGGUACCUGGAUAAGAAGCACCGGCUAACUACGUG